RNAcentral lists this ribosomal RNA (498 nucleotides) under uncultured fungus. RNAcentral describes it as "eukaryotic LSU rRNA". The stretch from base 103 to 256 matches the Rfam family "5.8S ribosomal RNA". The record is from RNAcentral. Lineage: Eukaryota; Fungi.
ACACACACACACACCGUGAACCGUUUCCCCACGUCUCUCGGGACGGGGGAUUACCACCUUAAACAUUGUAUACCAGAACGUCAAUUUGAUAAAAACAAACAAAACUUUCAACAACGGAUCUCUUGGCUCUCGCAUCGAUGAAGAACGCAGCGAAAUGCGAUAAGUAAUGUGAAUUGCAGAAUUCAGUGAAUCAUCGAAUCUUUGAACGCACCUUGCGCCCCUUGGUACUCCGAGGGGCAUGCCUGUUUGAGUGUCUUAUAACUAUCAAUCCCCCCUGGGCUUCGGACCGGUGUGGUGGACUUGGAUUUGGGUGCUGCCGGGCGACCGGCUCGCCUUAAAGACCUUAGUCGAGAGGGUUCCUCUGAUCUGACGUGAUUAGUUUCGUCGUGAUCUUGGUUCCUUGCCGGCUUACAACCCGCCCUCGGGCAUUAUUUUGUCAUGGACCUCAAAUCAGGUAGGACUACCCGCUGAACUUAAGCAUAUCAAUAAGCGGAGGAA